UAGUGAUUUAGCUCCUUAAGAAUUUGUCUAGCAGGUUUUCUGGUUUUUGCUGGAAAAUUCUC
Small nuclear RNA from Ictidomys tridecemlineatus (thirteen-lined ground squirrel), 62 nucleotides. Its record names the gene U7. It matches the Rfam family "U7 small nuclear RNA". Rfam says of the family: Animal histone pre-mRNAs are spliced by a different mechanism than nuclear pre-mRNAs and self-splicing introns. The record is from Ensembl. NCBI's taxonomy places the organism in Eukaryota, Metazoa, Chordata, Mammalia, Rodentia, Sciuridae.